This is a transfer RNA of 82 nucleotides. It matches the Rfam family "tRNA". From Rfam's summary of the family: Transfer RNA (tRNA) molecules are approximately 80 nucleotides in length. Their secondary structure includes four short double-helical elements and three loops (D, anti-codon, and T loops). The record is from Rfam.
GGCACUAUGGCCGAGUGGUUAAGGCGAAAGACUCGAAAUCUUUUGGGCUCUGCCCGCGCAAGUUCAAAUCCUGCUGGUGUCG